RNAcentral lists this long non-coding RNA (1526 nucleotides) under Mus spicilegus (steppe mouse). RNAcentral's name for it is "lncRNA (ENSMSIG00000031261.1)". Lineage: Eukaryota; Metazoa; Chordata; Mammalia; Rodentia; Muridae. The record is from RNAcentral.
UCUCUAACGCCCAGUUUCCUCAUUUUCUACAGCCAAAUGCAGAAUCUUAAUGGCUUUCCCUUUCGGUUCGACAAGCCCAGAGCUCUAGCCUGGGUGCGGGCUGUGUGUGAAGAAAUAGGAGUCUUGGUUUCAUUUCGUAACCUGGGCCCCUCCAGUGCCUACCAGCUGGGGCUGGGAACAGGACCAACAUUCAUUGACAAAUGAAGAGAUGAAAACAUUUUCGAAGCUGACAGGCCAUCAAUUGGGUGCCACCCGGGAAGAGAAGCCAUGGUCUGCAGCUCUGCUUCCUGGCCCCACCACCAGGAGAAGAUGGGACUGCCAGCCACACCCAAUGGGCCGCCCUAGGUUUGGGAGGUCUCUUUUUAUCCUGAGAGAAGGCUUGGGAGCAGUUACGAAAGCGACGAGCCUACCGGCUUGGACACGGAGCAGCGAUUGCUUGGCUUGUUGGGCACAAAUGGGUAAUUUCUCAUGUUCCUGCCUCUGUGACUGGGGCCAAGCAGGCAUGUCCCCUUUGUUCAGUUCACUGCUCCCACCUCUGGAAUCGUCCCUGCUGUCCAGGUGUCACAUGGCUUUACUCUGUCGGCGGUCCUCAUGAGAUCGAUGACUCCUGGCGAUCCACGUGUGAAUGACUUGUAGGAAGGGCGCCGGAGUGAGCUGAGGUUGAUGGAGAGCCACCUGCAGAGGCUCCAGCAGCUAUGUGAGUGUAUGGCUGGACAGUGUCACUUGUGAGAUGCUCACAGUCCUGUGGUGUCAACUAGAUCAAAGUCUCUCAUAAGAUAGAAGAUAGAAUCUGCCCUUGGUCACAACGCUUGAUUCAGAACCCUGGCUUUUUAUAGGGCUACUCUUUCCUCCGGUGAUGAAGGUUAACAUCCUGGAACAUCCAUGGCACAGAUGCGAGCUAAGUCCUCUACCCUAGAAGAUCUACAGUGCAGCCCUGGGCAGGAUUCCUCCAAGGCUCGCACAGUUUAAAUGUUUCAGACUGGGAUCAUUGCAAAAGGAAUUUUUCGCCUACAGAAGAGAGGGGCAAGGAAGAAAAGCUAGGCCCAAGGUCUAGAAACAGGGCAGUAGCCCUGAGUUUGGAAAGCCUCCCCCACCUGAUCCCACUCUCUCUUAGCUCAACCAGUUGUCCGUGUGAAGAUUAGGUUGCUGGUUUUGGCUUCUUUUUUUUUUUUUUUUUCGUUUUUUCUUUUUUUGUCAACUUGAUAGAAGCUAAGAAGAAAGGCGAUGGCCCCUGAGACCAUGACUCCGUCAGAUUGGCACGUUCACAGGGGAGGGGUCAGUUUCUUGAUUUAUGAUCUAUACGGGAGGCGCCUGAACCACUGUGAGUGGUGCCACCCUGGGCAGAUGGCCCGGACUAUCUAAGAAAGCAGGCUCAUCAAGCCGCAACAAACUAGCCAGUGAGCCCGGUAAACAGAAUUCUUCUGCAGCUCUUGCUCCAGUUCCCGCCUCGAGUUCCUGCCUUGGCUUCCCUGACUGAUGGACUCUCAGCCAAAUAAACACUCUGCUAUGGUAAUAGCUCUUGGUCA